GUCCACGCCCUAAACGAUGUCUACUAGUUGUUGGUGGAGUAAAAUCCAUGAGUAACGCAGCUAACGCGUGAAGUAGACCGCCUGGGGAGUACGGUAGCAAGAUUAAAACUCAAAUGAAUUGACGGGGGCCCGCACAAGCGGUGGAUUAUGUGGAUUAAUUCGAUGCAACGCGAAAACCUUACCUGGCCUUGACAUGUACGGAACUUUCCAGAGAUGGAUUGGUGCUCGAAAGAGAACCGUAACACAGGUGCUGCAUGGCUGUCGU
RNAcentral lists this ribosomal RNA (265 nucleotides) under uncultured bacterium. RNAcentral's name for it is "partial 16S ribosomal RNA". It matches the Rfam family "Bacterial small subunit ribosomal RNA", at positions 793 to 1055 of the family's 1533-position model. The record is from RNAcentral.